This 360-nucleotide RNase P RNA is filed under the name Gammaproteobacteria bacterium. Its description in RNAcentral is "RNase P RNA component class A". It matches the Rfam family "Bacterial RNase P class A". From Rfam's summary of the family: Ribonuclease P (RNase P) is a ubiquitous endoribonuclease, found in archaea, bacteria and eukarya as well as chloroplasts and mitochondria. Its best characterised activity is the generation of mature 5'-ends of tRNAs by cleaving the 5'-leader elements of precursor-tRNAs. Lineage: Bacteria; Pseudomonadati; Pseudomonadota; Gammaproteobacteria. The record is from RNAcentral.
CGAGUCGACCAGACAGUCGCUGCCGCUUGCGGUGGAGGAAAGUCCGGGCUCUACAGGGUAAGACGCCAGGUAACGCCUGGGAGGCGCGAGCCUACGGAAAGUGCAACAGAAAAUAUACCGCCUAAGCGCGCAAGCGCCGGUAAGGUUGAAAUGGUGCGGUAAGAGCGCACCGCGUCGCUGGCAACAGUCGACGGCUAGGUAAACCCCGUCCAGAGCAAAGCCAAAUAGAGGGGCUGUCGAUUUCGAUCGCAAGGUGUGACCCGCACUGCCCCUGGGUAGGCUGCUUGAGGCCUGCGGUGACGCAGGUCCCAGAUGAAUGACUGUCCACGACAGAACCCGGCUUAUCGGUCGACUCAUUUU